AGCUUUGCGCAGUGACAGUAUCAUAGUAAAUGAGGUUUAUCCAAGGAGCAAUUAUUGAUAAUUGAAAACUUAAAAUAAUGUUUCUCACUGUAAACCUCAAGUUUCUAUUUCCUGUGUUAAAAUUAUAAGCACCUAUAUAAAUAU
RNAcentral lists this small nuclear RNA (144 nucleotides) under Cavia porcellus (domestic guinea pig). RNAcentral describes it as "U4 spliceosomal RNA". It matches the Rfam family "U4 spliceosomal RNA". Rfam says of the family: U4 small nuclear RNA (U4 snRNA) is a component of the major U2-dependent spliceosome. The structure of U4 snRNA from yeast and human has been reported. Lineage: Eukaryota; Metazoa; Chordata; Mammalia; Rodentia; Caviidae. The record is from Rfam by way of RNAcentral.